This 512-nucleotide ribosomal RNA is filed under the name uncultured bacterium. RNAcentral describes it as "bacterial SSU rRNA". It matches the Rfam family "Bacterial small subunit ribosomal RNA", at positions 886 to 1397 of the family's 1533-position model. The record is from RNAcentral.
CCGCAAGGUUAAAACUCAAAUGAAUUGACGGGGGCCCGCACAAGCGGUGGAGCAUGUGGUUUAAUUCGAUGCAACGCGAAGAACCUUACCUACUCUUGACAUCCUGCGAACUUGUGAGAGAUCACUUGGUGCCUUCGGGAGCGCAGAGACAGGUGCUGCAUGGCUGUCGUCAGCUCGUGUUGUGAAAUGUUGGGUUAAGUCCCGUAACGAGCGCAACCCUUGUCCUUAUUUGCCAGCGGGUAAUGCCGGGAACUCUAAGGAGACUGCCGGUGACAAACCGGAGGAAGGUGGGGACGACGUCAAGUCAUCAUGGCCCUUACGAGUAGGGCUACACACGUGCUACAAUGGCCGGUACAAAGGGUUGCGAGCUCGCGAGAGUCAGCUAAUCCCGAAAAGCCGGUCUCAGUCCGGAUCGGAGUCUGCAACUCGACUCCGUGAAGUCGGAAUCGCUAGUAAUCGUGAAUCAGAAUGUCACGGUGAAUACGUUCCCGGGCCUUGUACACACCGCCCGU